This 797-nucleotide ribosomal RNA is filed under the name uncultured bacterium. Its description in RNAcentral is "bacterial SSU rRNA". It matches the Rfam family "Bacterial small subunit ribosomal RNA", at positions 8 to 796 of the family's 1533-position model. The record is from RNAcentral.
AGAGUUUGAUCAUGGCUCAGGAUGAACGCUAGCGGCAGGCUUAAUACAUGCAAGUCGAGGGGCAGCAGGGGUGUAGCAAUACACUCGCUGGCGACCGGCAAACGGGUGCGGAACACGUACGCAAUCUACCCAAAACUGAUGAAUAGCCCUCCGAAAGGAGGAUUAAUACAUCGUAACAUUGUAGAGUGGCAUCACUUUAUGAUUAUAGCUCCGGCGGUUUUGGAUGAGCGUGCGGCUGAUUAGGUAGUUGGCAGGGUAACGGCCUACCAAGCCUACGAUCAGUAACUGGUGUGAGAGCACGACCAGUCACACGGGCACUGAGACACGGGCCCGACUCCUACGGGAGGCAGCAGUAAGGAAUAUUGGUCAAUGGACGCAAGUCUGAACCAGCCAUGCCGCGUGAAGGAUGAAGGUCCUCUGGAUUGUAAACUUCUUUUAUAGGGGAAGAAACCCGGAAAUUCUUUUCCGGUUGACGGUACCCUGGGAAUAAGCACCGGCUAACUCCGUGCCAGCAGCCGCGGUAAUACGGAGGGUGCAAGCGUUAUCCGGAUUCACUGGGUUUAAAGGGUGCGUAGGUGGAUCUGUAAGUCAGUGGUGAAAUCUCCAAGCUUAACUUGGAAACUGCCGUUGAUACUAUAGAUCUUGAAUGCUGUGGAGGUGAGCGGAAUAUGUCAUGUAGCGGUGAAAUGCUUAGAUAUGACAUAGAACACCAAUUGCGAAGGCAGCUCACUACCCAGAUAUUGACACUGAGGCACGAAAGCGUGGGGAUCAAACAGGAUUAGAUACCCUAGUAGUCC